This 460-nucleotide ribosomal RNA is filed under the name uncultured bacterium. RNAcentral describes it as "partial 16S ribosomal RNA". It matches the Rfam family "Bacterial small subunit ribosomal RNA", at positions 338 to 795 of the family's 1533-position model. The record is from RNAcentral.
CCUACGGGAGGCUGCAGUGAGGAAUAUUGGUCAAUGGACGAGAGUCUGAACCAGCCAAGUAGCGUGAAGGAUGACUGCCCUAUGGGUUGUAAACUUCUUUUAUAUGGGAAUAAAAUGUUCCACGUGUGGGAUUUUGUAUGUACCAUAUGAAUAAGGAUCGGCUAACUCCGUGCCAGCAGCCGCGGUAAUACGGAGGAUCCGAGCGUUAUCCGGAUUUAUUGGGUUUAAAGGGAGCGUAGGUGGUUUGUUAAGUCAGUUGUGAAAGUUUGCGGCUCAACCGUAAAAUUGCAGUUGAAACUGGCAGUCUUGAGUACAGUAGAGGUAGGCGGAAUGCGUGGUGUAGCGGUGAAAUGCUUAGAGAUCACGAAGAACACCGAUUGCGAAGGCAGUUCACUGGACUGCAACUGACACUGAGGCUCGAAAGUGUGGGUAUCAAACAGGAUUAGAUACCCGUGUAGUC